This 467-nucleotide ribosomal RNA is filed under the name uncultured bacterium. RNAcentral describes it as "partial 16S ribosomal RNA". It matches the Rfam family "Bacterial small subunit ribosomal RNA", at positions 28 to 507 of the family's 1533-position model. The record is from RNAcentral.
GACGAACGCUGGCGGCGUGCUUAACACAUGCAAGUCGAACGGAAAGGCCUCUUUCGGGGGGUACUCGAGUGGCGAACGGGUGAGUAACACGUGAGUAACCUGCCCUUGACUUUGGGAUAACUUCAGGAAACUGGGGCUAAUACCGGAUAGGAGCUCCUGCUGCAUGGUGGGGGUUGGAAAGUUUCGGCGGUUGGGGAUGGACUCGCGGCUUAUCAGCUUGUUGGUGGGGUAGUGGCUUACCAAGGCUUUGACGGGUAGCCGGCCUGAGAGGGUGACCGGCCACAUUGGGACUGAGAUACGGCCCAAACUCCUACGGGAGGCAGCGGUGGGGAAUAUUGCACAAUGGGUGGAAGCCUGAUGCAGCAACGCCGUGUGCGGGAUGACGGCCUUCGGGUUGUAAACCGCUUUCGCUCAUGACGAAGCUUUGUGUGACGGUAGUGGGUAAAGAAGCACCGGCUAACUACGUG